UAUAUGAGAAGAGCGGUCUAU
Molecule: non-coding RNA, 21 nt
Filed under: Caenorhabditis elegans
Lineage: Eukaryota; Metazoa; Nematoda; Chromadorea; Rhabditida; Rhabditidae
Source: RNAcentral